AGCUCAGUUGGUAGAGCAGCGGACUGAAAAUCCGCGUGUCGGUGGUUCGAUUCCGCCC
RNAcentral lists this transfer RNA (58 nucleotides) under Rubrivivax sp. Its description in RNAcentral is "tRNA-Phe". It matches the Rfam family "tRNA", at positions 9 to 63 of the family's 71-position model. From Rfam's summary of the family: Transfer RNA (tRNA) molecules are approximately 80 nucleotides in length. The record is from RNAcentral. Lineage: Bacteria; Pseudomonadati; Pseudomonadota; Betaproteobacteria; Burkholderiales; Sphaerotilaceae. RNAcentral also lists the same sequence under 4 other names.